RNAcentral lists this ribosomal RNA (329 nucleotides) under uncultured eukaryote. RNAcentral's name for it is "partial 18S ribosomal RNA". It matches the Rfam family "Eukaryotic small subunit ribosomal RNA", at positions 1470 to 1796 of the family's 1831-position model. The record is from RNAcentral.
CCCUUAGAUGUCCUGGGCCGCACGCGCGCUACGCUGAGUGUCUGAGAUACGAGUCUGCCUGGUCCGGCAAGGUCUAGGUAAUCGCUAAAAGACACAUCAUGCUUGGGAUAGAUUAUUGCAAAUAUUAAUCUUGAACGAGGAAUUCCCAGUAAGCGCAAGUCAACAGCUUGCGUUGAUUACGUCCCUGCCCUUUGUACACACCGCCCGUCGCUACUACUGAUUGGAUGUUUAAGCGAGGUUCUCGAACUGCUAGCGACUUAGCUUCGGUGAGGUCGCAGUGUGGGAAGUGAACCUAGCUUUGGUGUCUAGAGGAAGUAAAAGUCGUAACA